Molecule: ribosomal RNA, 256 nt
Filed under: uncultured bacterium
Lineage: Bacteria
Description: partial 16S ribosomal RNA
Rfam family: Bacterial small subunit ribosomal RNA
Source: RNAcentral
UACGGAGGGUGCGAGCGUUUGUCCGGAAUCACUGGGCGUAAAGGGCGCGUAGGUGGUGGCUUAAGCGUGCGGUGAAAGCUCGGGGCUCAACCCCGAGUCGGCCGUGCGAACUGGGCUCACUGGAGCAUAGUAGAGGCAGGUGGAAUUCCGGGUGUAGCGGUGGAAUGCGUACGAUAUCAGGAGGAACACCGAUGGCGAAGGCAGAUCUCUGGGCAUUAACUGACGCUGAGGAGCGAAAGCAUGGGGAGCGAACAGG